This 27-nucleotide non-coding RNA is filed under the name Bombyx mori (domestic silkworm). Lineage: Eukaryota; Metazoa; Arthropoda; Insecta; Lepidoptera; Bombycidae. The record is from RNAcentral.
UCCUAAAGGCCAAUGUAGCGGGGGCGC